AUUGAACGCUGGCGGCAGGCCUAACACAUGCAAGUCGAGCGGAUGAAGGGAGCUUGCUCCUGGAUUCAGCGGCGGACGGGUGAGUAAUGCCUAGGAAUCUGCCUGGUAGUGGGGGAUAACGUCCGGAAACGGGCGCUAAUACCGCAUACGUCCUGAGGGAGAAAGUGGGGGAUCUUCGGACCUCACGCUAUCAGAUGAGCCUAGGUCGGAUUAGCUAGUUGGUGGGGUAAAGGCCUACCAAGGCGACGAUCCGUAACUGGUCUGAGAGGAUGAUCAGUCACACUGGAACUGAGACACGGUCCAGACUCCUACGGGAGGCAGCAGUGGGGAAUAGGGGACAAUGGGCGAAAGCCUGAUCCAGCCAUGCCGCGUGUGAAGAAGGUCUUCGGAUUGUAAAGCACUUUAAGUUGGGAGGAAGGGCAGUAAGUUAAUACCUUGCUGUUUUGACGUUACCAACAGAAUAAGCACCGGCUAACUUCGUG
RNAcentral lists this ribosomal RNA (482 nucleotides) under uncultured bacterium. RNAcentral describes it as "partial 16S ribosomal RNA". It matches the Rfam family "Bacterial small subunit ribosomal RNA", at positions 30 to 507 of the family's 1533-position model. The record is from RNAcentral.